GUGCAGUCAAAGCGGUGCCCAUGUCCCACGAUCAGCACCGCAGAGAGAAUAACAAGGGAACCGGCUUAUCCUUUUCUCAUCGUAUCUUCCAUCUUCCUCUCUCUCCCUUACUCCACCACCGCCGCCGCCAUCGACGAUCUUCACCCAAGCUGGCAUCCUUCUCUCCCUUCUAGACUAGAGAAAUCUAAGCACGUUGUGCGGUGGAGGAGCUCGGCUCAAUCGUCUCCUCCUAGCCACACCGUGGCGCCACCGAUCAAUCCAAGGAUGUUGUGCGGUGGAGGAUCUCGGCUCAAUCCUCUCCUUCCGAAGGAGGAUGGCGGCGGCAUGGCGCAGAGGAGAAUCUUUGGGCGCCCUUCUCCCUCACCCCUCUACGGCGCCGGCGGCAGUGCACUCGCCGCAGCGCACGGUGAUGAAGAAGAGAGGGAGGCAGAGCCGGAUGGAGGCGUCUUUUCCGGAAGCUUCCCUACAGCGUGAGCGGCUGUCGUCGCCCAACAGUUCUUUUCAGCGAUGACGACGGCGUCGACGCAACAGACGGUGGAGCGGAAUAUCCUGGUUGAGGCAGCAGGGGUAGGAUAGUGGGCUCGGCUGGCAUCCAGGGCGAAGAAGCGGGGGUGGGCAUCUGUCCAAGAGCUCGCAGGUACGCCGGCGACAACUUCUGCCACAGCAUUGGCUGCUGGGAAUCUCACAUUUUGUCUUGCUCUCUCCCCCUUUGCCCAACGAUAAUACUAAUCCUGUUUUUCCUUCAAUUUGGCAGCGACCAUAGGAAGCAGGUGUACAUCUGGUUUGAUUUGCCUGCGGGGAUCUUCAGUUUGCUUCGACAGCUUCUAUUACCGGUGGAGGCAAAGGAAUUUUGGUUUGGUUCAUAAUUUUCGUCUGCCAUGGUUGCAAAGGUCUGGGAGGCAGAGUACGCUCGGACUUGUUGAUUUAGGUGCCACAGUUGCCAAAGUCUAGAUUAAUGCUUUAGAGUGCCAUGAAGAACCUUUUCCUGGGACCGAAGUUUCUUUGUUUGGACAAGAAGGAAAGUUUGGUGCCGGUUUUUUUGCUAGAUAUGGCUCGAAGAAAAUGGUAAGCUUAAAAAUAUUCAUUGUCGCAUAUAAAAUACUUUUUUUAACAAGGCAUAUAAAAUACUUAGGCAUUUAGAACUCUACACUGCCAGUCCAGAUGUAUUAGUAUACAAUGCCAUGCAUGGCGCACAAAUUGCAUUUACUU
Molecule: non-coding RNA, 1209 nt
Organism: Lolium perenne
Lineage: Eukaryota; Viridiplantae; Streptophyta; Magnoliopsida; Poales; Poaceae
Source: RefSeq, a predicted model, not a curated record